GACGAACGCUGGCGGCGUGCUUAACACAUGCAAGUCGAACGGAAAGGCCCUGCUUUUGUGGGGUGCUCGAGUGGCGAACGGGUGAGUAACACGUGAGUAACCUGCCCUUGACUUUGGGAUAACUUCAGGAAACUGGGGCUAAUACCGGAUAGGAGCUCCUGCUGCAUGGUGGGGGUUGGACAGUUUCGGCGGUUGGGGAUGGACUGGCGGCUUAUCAGCUUGUUGGUGGGGUAGUGGCUUACCAAGGCUUUGACGGGUAGCCGGCCUGAGAGGGUGACCGGCCACAUUGGGACUGAGAUACGGCCCAGACUCCUACGGGAGGCAGCAGUGGGGAAUAUUGCACAAUGGGCGGAAGCCUGAUGCAGCAACGCCGCGUGCGGGAUGACGGCCUUCGGGUUGUAAACCGCUUUCGCCUGUGACGAAGCGUGAGUGACGGUAAUGGGUAAAGAAGCACCGGCUAACUACGUG
This 468-nucleotide ribosomal RNA is filed under the name uncultured bacterium. RNAcentral describes it as "partial 16S ribosomal RNA". It matches the Rfam family "Bacterial small subunit ribosomal RNA", at positions 28 to 507 of the family's 1533-position model. The record is from RNAcentral.